RNAcentral lists this transfer RNA (72 nucleotides) under Candidatus Pacearchaeota archaeon. Its description in RNAcentral is "tRNA-Met". It matches the Rfam family "tRNA". From Rfam's summary of the family: Transfer RNA (tRNA) molecules are approximately 80 nucleotides in length. Their secondary structure includes four short double-helical elements and three loops (D, anti-codon, and T loops). The record is from RNAcentral. Lineage: Archaea; Nanobdellati.
GUCUCUGUAGCUCAGCGUCAGAGCACGAGUCUCAUGAGCUCGGGGUCGGGGGUUAAACUCCCCCCAGAGACA